CGAUAAAUGCAGGGCAUUACGCAUAUCAGUGAGGAUUCGUCCGAGAUUGCGUUUUUGCUAGUUGAAAACUAUCAACUGACCGCUCUCGUUUUUGGUCUUCGGAUCGGCGAGGAAUUUUUGACAAUUCAAUAA
Molecule: small nuclear RNA, 132 nt
Filed under: Pseudocercospora musae
Lineage: Eukaryota; Fungi; Ascomycota; Dothideomycetes; Mycosphaerellales; Mycosphaerellaceae
Description: Mycosphaerella musicola U4 spliceosomal RNA
Rfam family: U4 spliceosomal RNA
About the family: U4 small nuclear RNA (U4 snRNA) is a component of the major U2-dependent spliceosome.
Source: Rfam by way of RNAcentral